UGGGGAAUAUUGGACAAUGGGCGCAAGCCUGAUCCAGCCAUACCGCGUGGGUGAAGAAGGCCUUCGGGUUGUAAAGCCCUUUUGUUGGGAAAGAAAUCCAGCUGGCUAAUACCCGGUUGGGAUGACGGUACCCAAAGAAUAAGCACCGGCUAACUUCGUGCCAGCAGCCGCGGUAAUACGAAGGGUGCAAGCGUUACUCGGAAUUACUGGGCGUAAAGCGUGCGUAGGUGGUCGUUUAAGUCCGUUGUGAAAGCCCUGGGCUCAACCUGGGAACUGCAGUGGAUACUGGGCGACUAGAGUGUGGUAGAGGGUAGCGGAAUUCCUGGUGUAGCAGUGAAAUGCGUAGAGAUCAGGAGGAACAUCCAUGGCGAAGGCAGCUACCUGGACCAACACUGACACUGAGGCACGAAAGCGUGGGGAGCAAAACAGGAUUAGAUACCCUGGUAGUCCACGCCCUAAACGAUGCGAACUGGAUGUUGGGUGCAAUUUGGCACGCAGUAUCGAAGCUAACGCGUUAAGUUCGCCGCCUGGGAGUACGGUCGCAAGACUGAAACUC
Molecule: ribosomal RNA, 556 nt
Filed under: uncultured bacterium
Lineage: Bacteria
Description: bacterial SSU rRNA
Rfam family: Bacterial small subunit ribosomal RNA
Source: RNAcentral